Molecule: ribosomal RNA, 428 nt
Filed under: uncultured bacterium
Lineage: Bacteria
Description: partial 16S ribosomal RNA
Rfam family: Bacterial small subunit ribosomal RNA
Source: RNAcentral
CCUACGGGAGGCUGCAGUAACGAAUCUUCCGCAAUGCGCGAAAGCGUGACGGAGCAAUGCCGCGUGCAGGAUGAAGCCCCUCGGGGUGUAAACUGCUGUCAGGGAUUAGCCCAGUCCCAAAGGAAGAGACGACUAACUCUGUGCCAGCAGUCGCGGUAAUACAGAGGUCUCGAGCGUUAGUCGGAAUCACUGGGCUUAAAGCGUGCGUAGGCGGAUGUGCAGGCGUCGUGUGAAAGCCCUCGGCUCAACCGGGGAAUGCACGGCGAACCGCAUGUCUUGAGACAAGUAGAGGCGGUCGGAACGAUAGGUGGAGUGGUGAAAUGCGUUGAUAUCUAUCGGAACGCCAAAGGUGAAGACAGACCGCUGGCUGUUCUGACGCUGAGGCACGAAAGCGUGGGUAGCAAACGGGAUUAGAUACCCUGGUAGUC